CCCUCCUCUGAAGACUGCUCUCAAACCAAGACCUAUAGGCAGUAUAAUACCUCGUCUUCUAUCCAGUAGUGAGGGAUUACUGGAAAUAAGUUUCGCA
Molecule: non-coding RNA, 97 nt
Submitted as: unclassified sequences
Source: Rfam